Molecule: small RNA, 38 nt
Filed under: Acididesulfobacillus acetoxydans
Lineage: Bacteria; Bacillati; Bacillota; Clostridia; Eubacteriales; Peptococcaceae
Description: CRISPR spacer
Source: RNAcentral
CAUUUAAAUUUAUAAGCUUUUCCUCCUUCUUUUUUAUA